Plutella xylostella (diamondback moth) is the source of this 168-nucleotide non-coding RNA. Lineage: Eukaryota; Metazoa; Arthropoda; Insecta; Lepidoptera; Plutellidae. The record is from RefSeq and is a predicted model, not a curated record.
GAUUAAUAGAAUAUGAUCUCGGUUAUAUUUGGUUGGUUUUCAGAACUCAGAGGUAAUGAUUAAUAGGGAUAACUGGGGGCAUUCGUAUUGCGACGUUAGAGGUGAAAUUCUUGGAUCGUCGCAAGACGAACAUCAGCGAAAGCAUUUGCCAAAGGUGUUUUCAUCAAU